GAUGAACGCUGGCGGCGUGCCUAAUACAUGCAAGUCGAGCGAACGGACGAGAAGCUUGCUUCUCUGAUGUUAGCGGCGGACGGGUGAGUAACACGUGGAUAACCUACCUAUAAGACUGGGAUAACUUCGGGAAACCGGAGCUAAUACCGGAUAAUAUUUUGAACCGCAUGGUUCAAAAGUGAAAGACGGUCUUGCUGUCACUUAUAGAUGGAUCCGCGCUGCAUUAGCUAGUUGGUAAGGUAACGGCUUACCAAGGCAACGAUGCAUAGCCGACCUGAGAGGGUGAUCGGCCACACUGGAACUGAGACACGGUCCAGACUCCUACGGGAGGCAGCAGUAGGGAAUCUUCCGCAAUGGGCGAAAGCCUGACGGAGCAACGCCGCGUGAGUGAUGAAGGUCUUCGGAUCGUAAAACUCUGUUAUUAGGGAAGAACAUAUGUGUAAGUAACUGUGCACAUCUUGACGGUACCUAAUCAGAUAGCCACGGCUAACUACGUG
This 497-nucleotide ribosomal RNA is filed under the name uncultured bacterium. RNAcentral describes it as "partial 16S ribosomal RNA". It matches the Rfam family "Bacterial small subunit ribosomal RNA", at positions 28 to 507 of the family's 1533-position model. The record is from RNAcentral.